Long non-coding RNA from Amphiprion ocellaris (clown anemonefish), 3666 nucleotides. NCBI's taxonomy places the organism in Eukaryota, Metazoa, Chordata, Actinopteri, Pomacentridae. The record is from Ensembl.
UGAGAAAGAGUUUAAAUAAUUUUGGACAUGGCAUCUUUAGUAGAAAAUACAGAAAACAUUGGCUGGCUAUCUUUUGUCACGUGUUUAUAUCGUUUCCAGCCAAAAAAAACUUACUGGUUAAAAACAAAUCUAUAUAGGGUUGAUAUUGUAUGUCACUUUAAUAAUUUGACAUGUUUUAAAAGGAGAUUGCACCAAAAAAUACUAAGAAAUGAAUGAAGCACCUGCAAUAAUUCGACACGGCAGCUGAUGUCAGUACGGUAUAUAGAGAAUGACCCAAACCUGGUAUUGAAUUCCCUUCAGUGGAGCAGCAAUAAAUCAGCUGUACUGUGUGAAGGGAACUCAGUGCUUUUCUUUGUUUUCAUCCUGAGUGCCAGCAGCCACAACUAAAAUGCUUUAAAGCUAUGGCGUAACCCUUAAAAAUGCUUUCCCCCCCAUUUAAACCGUGUUUUCUCAGGAUUACAGCAUUUAAAAGAAUGUUUCCUUCUGAUUAACUAAAUAAUUCCCAAACCAAAGGGAUUUGUUUAAAGGUUUUAGAGUGUAAUAAUCCAGAUAAUAGUAAUUUAAAUUUGUUUUCACACUAGGCCUAAUUUACUUAGUCUAAUAUAUUCCAAAAGGAAAUGCAGUUGUACUCAUAGCGCAUUUAAAGAGAGAGCUUUAUUUGUGUUUGUUGACAAUUUGUGUGUCUCUUUCCAGAAUACUCUUCGGCAACAGAAAGCAGCAGUGUUUUGGACAGGCAGUGAAGGGUGAACUCCAUCAGGGACGCUUUGUGAUGACUUGACAACAAUGGUAGAGUUUCUCCUCAGCUUCAUACAUGAAAAAAAGAAGGUUUUAAGGGAAUUUAAUGUUUAAUCGCUGAUUUUAAAUAAAAUAUGAUGCAAAAAUGGGACCGUGAACUUCCCGUCUACUCUUCUGCCUCGUGCGGCGGGUUCAACUCAUGGAUGAUCCAAGUGGUGGAGAAGAGAGGGAGGCAGAGAAAGAGCACUCAGAGCACAGUCAUGCCAGUUACAGUACAGUACUUACCCUUUAGAGCAAAUCAUCGAGGUGACUCUGCUUAACAGGGGGUCACCUUGCUGAUAGGGAUACUACAGGGGCCGCUCCAUUUUCGCCUCGCUGUUGUUAAAAGCUUGAGAUGGGUCAUGAGUAAGAGGCAGGCAUGUGAUCCAUGGAAACAGAGAUAUUUCAUGUGUUUGACUGCAGGGACGACUUACUGACAUUCUGAAAAGUCACGCAGAUAGCCGACGGCCUCAGACCAUUUAUAUUCACAGCAGGAUUUAAACCGACAAGGAGAAUGAGAGAAAAAAAAGCUAUUUUAAAUAACAAAAUCAGACCUAAGUUAACCUAACAAGUGUAUGAAUUGGAAUAGUUUUGCAAAUACAGAUGGUGACAAAUUAAAUGAAGAUCAACCUACAAUAUUUUAGUGGGGCAACUAUGAGGCACCAGGCAGCUUCAGUGCUCCCCGGCAUUGAUUCUCUGUCCACCUUUAGUUUUUGAUGACAACUCUCUCCACAUUUCUGGAGAGAUGUGCCAUUUUUUUUUCACCUGCUCUGCUGGAGGGGUUUUGUUGUUCCACUGUUGUCUUUAAAACACCCCAGAGGUGUUCUAUUGGAUUGAAGUCGGAUGUCAUACUUGCCCAGGUUAUGAAUUUUACUUUUUUUCUUCUUUAGAAACUCCUGUGUGAUUUUGGCAGUGUGCUCUGGAUCGUUAUCAUCCUGGAAUAUUCCUCCUUUGCCAAGCUUCUGCAGACUGGUAGUACCAGUAUUUUGGUAUAUCCACGGACAUUCAUGUUGCCAUCUAAAAAUGUCAUCUCCCCAACAUAGCUCGCACUCAUGUGGCCCCAUGUCAUCACAUGCCCACCUUUGUGCUUCACUGUCAGGACUAUGCAUUCACUGUGGCUGUCCAGACCAGAUUCAGGACAAAUAUUCUGGACCCCAUCAGAGCAGAACAACUUUACACUGACCUAGCUGUUAUUAAAAACCCUGUGGCAAGUCUGAUACAUUUGCCCUUCUGUUUUUCUCAGCUAAACUGAAAGUUCCCCACUGCCCAUGGCAUCAUUUUAGGCUUUCAGCCGUUGCAGCUCUGAUUAGUGGCACUAUGGUUCAUUCUAUACCUUCUGACUACUCCUGCAACUUUGUUUCGAUGGAUUUUUUUAGUUGGUCACUAAUCUUCCUGUAUCCUUUUCCAUCUUUGUGAAGUCUCAUGGUCCUUUGGCAAUUCUUGUGGAGCCACGAUGCAGACAUGCGAAUAUACACAGCCUUAAAAGUCCAAAACCGAGAUAGUUCUGGUGUUCACAGGUCAGGCUAAUUGGAACUCACUGUUGAACUUGCGUUUGUUUCAGUUUUCUAACUUCUGUUUCAGUAAUUACAAUUGUAAUUACUUCUGUUGCUUUCAGUUUCUACUUUUGGGGAUCUCUUUUCCUUAUAACCUUCCUGAAGAAUCAGUUUUUGUACUGUUCAAAAGAGGAACUAAUUGCCGAAUUCGAAGUAAGGCAAAUACUGAGGUGAUGCCACAGUGAAUUAUUUGACAUUGAAGUGAUGCUGUACAGAUGUGUACUUGCUGCUGUUGUAUAUUGUAGACUAUUCCCCAAGCAGAUGUUUUGAGUUGUCAUGAUGGACAACGCACAGGCGUAACUCAUAAUAUCACUUAUGUCUCUACUCUGUUCAUAUGUCCUUGUAAACCAUAAAAAAUGUCCAGCAUGCAGCAUUAUUUUUUAAUGUUUUCACAGUAGGCAUUUCAGCAUGUCACAGCAGGGAAAACACAUAUGUAAUUAAUAACAUGUCAUGAAUCAGUGCAUUCCUUUUACAUGAGCUUCUUCCAUGGCCUUGAUAUUUCACAUGCUGGUUCUCUGACAUCGCUCACUGGGGGAGUUAAUGGAACUGAUCCAUCCUUAACUGAAUUAGUUACACCUGUGCUUUCUCUGCUAUUACAAGUCAAAACGUCUACUGUGAGGAAGGUCUGUAUCCGACCUGAGUGGAAUACAGUAAUUAUUAACAUGUGUUAAUUUAGUUAUCGGUCAGAAAUCCAUCAAGACUGAUCCACCAGUGAGAAUCUACUUGAAGACCUUGCACCACAUUCAGUUUUUGCAUUACUCUCUGUAAUAGAAAAUACCUUUCACUCAAUGUCUGACUCAAUUAAUUUCAGAAGUGUGUCUAGAAAUAUGUCUAGUGUUACCAAACUGAUUGAAAAAUGUCUUCGGUCUAGAUUUAGUGAGCAGCUUUUUUUUCCCAAGUUGCCUUGUAAUUCAGAGGAAAACCGCAAUCCUCAUGCUGAUAUAAUGACAUGAAAUUGUGGCAGCAUUUGAGUUUCAAGUGUAUGUACAAUAUCAGUGACAUGCAAAGCCAGUAUAACUUUCUUAAAGCUUUCCAAGACGAAUUUGCACUUUUUAAAUCAAGAUUUUUCAUGUGCCGAACUAUCCAGCCCAUAACUUUUAUAUAGAUACAUCUAACUUUAAACCUGUAAUUGAUAAGUGGGAUCGCUCCUGCAAACCACAAGCUUUUGAAAUCCUUUGAAGGUAAAUAUUACACAAUAGUUUCAUUCUGUCACUGUGUCUAUUGUCUUUUUCAGCAGCAGAUAGUUAAUCUGCCUGAAGCAGCCUGUCUGUAGCAGCCCAUAUUAAUGUUAUUGAUCAUUGUCAACUUUUGUGUUUCUUCCAGCCUCAGAUCACACUGU